RNAcentral lists this ribosomal RNA (371 nucleotides) under uncultured bacterium. RNAcentral describes it as "bacterial SSU rRNA". It matches the Rfam family "Bacterial small subunit ribosomal RNA", at positions 28 to 402 of the family's 1533-position model. The record is from RNAcentral.
GACGAACGCUGGCGGCGUGCUUAACACAUGCAAGUCGAGCGGUAAGGCCCUUUUGGGGGUACACGAGCGGCGAACGGGUGAGUAACACGUGGGUGACCUGCCCUCAGCUCUGGGAUAAGCCUGGGAAACUGGGUCUAAUACUGGAUAUGACCUUUCCUCGCAUGGGGUUGGGUGGAAAGUUUUUCGGCUGGGGAUGGGCCCGCGGCUAUCAGCUUGUUGGUGGGGUGAUGGCCUACCAAGGCGACGACGGGUAGCCGGCCUGAGAGGGCGACCGGCCACACUGGGACUGAGACACGGCCCAGACUCCUACGGGAGGCAGCAGUGGGGAAUAUUGCGCAAUGGGGCGGAAGCCUGACGCAGCGACGCCGCGU